GAUGAAGAACGUAGCGAAAUGCGAUAAGUAAUGUGAAUUGCAGAAUUCCGUGAAUCAUCGAAUCUUUGAACGCACAUUGCGCCCCCUGGUAUUCCGGGGGGCAUGCCUGUCCGAGCGUCAUUGCAACCCUCAAGCGCGGCUUGUGUGUUGGGCUUCGUCCCCCCGUGGACGUGCCCGAAAGGCAGUGGCGGCGUCCCGAAUGGUGCCCGGGCGUAUGGGAACUCUCUUCCGCUCGAACCGGCCCAUUCGGCGCUGGUCGAACCCCAAUUUUUUUUACCGGUUGACCUCGGAUCAGGUAGGGAUACCCGCUGAACUUAAGCAUAUCAAUAAGCGGAGGA
This 338-nucleotide unclassified non-coding RNA is filed under the name soil metagenome. RNAcentral's name for it is "partial contains 5.8S ribosomal RNA, internal transcribed spacer 2, and large subunit ribosomal RNA". The stretch from base 1 to 120 matches the Rfam family "5.8S ribosomal RNA", at positions 35 to 154 of the family's 154-position model. The record is from RNAcentral.